Molecule: unclassified non-coding RNA, 2201 nt
Filed under: Hevea brasiliensis (rubber tree)
Lineage: Eukaryota; Viridiplantae; Streptophyta; Magnoliopsida; Malpighiales; Euphorbiaceae
Source: RNAcentral
AGAGAGAGAGAGAGAGCAAUAAUAGAGAUAGUCAGAGGAGGAGGAGAAGAGGGUAUAGAGACGGGAUGUUUAAGGAUCUUUCUUGGUUCUUCUGAGACAGAUUUGCUUCAAACUGAGAUUGAAAGGUUUUGUUGUGAUGCAAGAUGGACUUUUCAGAGCAUACGAGGAUUGUGUUCAAUAGAAUUAAGAAACUGGAACCAGAGAAUGUUACUAAGAUUAUCGGUUAUCUUCUUUUACAAGAUGGUGGUGACCAAGAAAUGAUUAAUCUGGCUAUGAGUCCUGAUGUGGUUAUUCAAGAAGUGAUUUAUAAGGCUAAAACUGAACUUAAUCAAUUAGCCCUCAAAUCAGCAACAUCUCCAGUCUCGCCAUCCAUGAAUUCACCACCUGUUUCAGAUCUUCCUUCACAGUUCACUCCUUUCUCCCCUGUUUCAUCUCGGUCUUUUUUGUCCCCAGCAACAUCCUUCCGAGCCCCUUCUUCCUAUUGGGAAUCUCAGGUUGCGGCUAAGCAUAAUUUAGAUUUUGCGUCUAUGGGUUACCUGGAUUCUGUGUCUGAGCUCCAAAACCAAAACCAUUUCUUGAGUUUGGAGGAUCAAAUAGAGCCUGUCAACUUGGGAAAUAUGGUAUUUCCAAGUGAUUAUUUCUCCUCGGAUGCUGCACUGGGUAGUUUAAGUGCAAGGGCGGGUCGGCGGUAUUCAAGCUUAAAUGAAAUCCCAGUUAAGACUUGUCACUAUUUCAACAAGGGUUUUUGUAAGCAUGGAAGUAAUUGUAGGUACUAUCAUGGACAAGUCUCGGAGAGCUUUCCUCGAACAUUUGAUGCUAACAAUGAAGAUCAGCUUUUCUCACCAGGGUCACUUGAGAAGUUGGAGUUGGAAAUCAUUGAGAUCUUGAAAUCAAGAAAAGGAAAUCCUGUUUCAAUUGCUUCUUUGCCAAUGAUAUAUUAUGAGAAAUAUGGAAAAGUUCUUCAAGCAGAAGGGUACCUAACAGAGAGCCAGAGACAUGGGAAAGCUGGUUAUAGCUUGACUAAGCUUCUUAUUAGGCUGAAAAACAGUAUUCAGCUGAUCGACAGACCUCAUGGUCAGCAUGCAGUAAUUUUGGUGGAAGAUGCUCCAAAAUACAUGGAUAAUCGGGGGGACAGAAAUGACCCUGGUCCAAUUGUUAGUGGAUCACGGCAGAUAUAUCUAACCUUCCCCGCUGAGAGCACUUUUACAGAAGAUGAUGUCUCCAACUACUUCAACACCUUUGGAUCAGUUGAGGAUGUAAGGAUCCCCUGCCAACAGAAAAGGAUGUUUGGUUUCGUAACAUUUGAAAGUGCAGAUACUGUGAAGAUGAUUUUGGCAAAAGGAAAUCCUCAUUUUGUUUGUGGUGCUCGAGUUCUUGUGAAACCUUAUAGGGAAAAAUCAAAGCUUACUGAUAGGUAAAAUUAUCUGCAAAAUUUGAAAUGCUAAAACCAAAUCUCUUUGUGACAUUGCAAUUCUCAGGAAUUAUUAUAUUCCAUUUAAUGGUUUUUAAAGCAUAGCCUUUCAUGUCAAUAUAACUCAGUGUCCAAAGCAUCAUAUCAGAUAACUACAUUGUAUUUUAAUGGUGGAACCUUGUGCGUUUGAGUUUUAGUGGUAGAACUUUAGAACUAACUACAGCAAUUACUUGGUGCUUUUUUUUUGGGGGGGGGAAUAUGAAGUUGGAUUUGAAAUUCUUAAAAAGAACUUGCAAUUUUGUUUCUUUCUCACAGCUGAAAUUUUGGUGCAGGAGGUAUCAGGAGAGAAUUGAGCCUCCAUUCUAUUUCUCUUCUCAAUACGUAGAUACAGAUUCUGAGUUUUAUCCAAGUGAGUUAGGUCUUUCAAUAAUUUCCAUGAAUGAAAAGAUAAAAUUAUGAAAUAUUAAUGCAGAAAACAUUUUGAUAAUUAUGAAGAAACCAAAAAAUACAAAUUUUAUGUUGGUAAAUCCUUUGAAUUCUUUAAUAUACUGCAAAUGCACACACAAUAGUCCACAGUGGCCCUUUUUAUUGUUAUUAAUUUUUUUGCAUCAUCUAAUUGUAUAUUUUGCUUUUAGUGCGAAGAGGAUAUGAGACCUCAAGGUUGCUGAGAAAGCAGCUUAUGGAAGAGCAACAGGAGCAGGCUCUUGAAAUUCAGAGGAGGCGAUUUGCAGAACUGCGAACAGCUCAGAAGCCAAUGUCUAAUCAGUCUUAUUUUGGCUACUCGAUGGAG